GUGCUUACUUUGGCAGCAUGUAUACUAAAAUUUUAAUGAUAUGGAGAAAGUUAGCAUGGGCCUGUAUAAUGAUGACACACUAAUUUGUGAAGCGUUCUACAUUAAA
This 106-nucleotide small nuclear RNA is filed under the name Pteropus vampyrus (large flying fox). The record is from RNAcentral. Lineage: Eukaryota; Metazoa; Chordata; Mammalia; Chiroptera; Pteropodidae.